RNAcentral lists this microRNA (23 nucleotides) under Tetranychus urticae (two-spotted spider mite). Its description in RNAcentral is "tur-miR-5728-1-5p". Lineage: Eukaryota; Metazoa; Arthropoda; Arachnida; Trombidiformes; Tetranychidae. The record is from miRBase by way of RNAcentral.
ACAGCCGUAUGAGUGGCAGAAUA